GCUAACGAGGGGCUCUCCAGAACUCAGGCUGUUUCUACUCCUCUAAUGAAACAGGCAGCUGCUAUUCUCAGAGCUGGCAGCUGACUGCUGUUAGGAAAGAAGUUGCUGGCAGCCAAGGUUGGCAAUUGGUGACUGAAUUGUCAGGGACUCAGUGGAAAAGAAAAGCAACAGGGGUGCACACCCAGAAAACCCCAGCAGCUGAUCCCUGGUGAUUGAUGCCUUUUGGAUUGGAGAAAGAGAGUGACAUCCAGCAACUGGUCAAGAUGAGAGCAGUAUGAAGACUGCCCAGGAAGAAGCCGUCGCUGCAGAUAAGUGCUGCUAGUCAGACUUCACGCCCUAGCUUUCAUUUUACACAUCCUCCAUGACAAUAUAAACGGCUCUCAUGCCCAGUUUUAUCUGGCCUUCUAUCCCUGCGCAGUGGUUAGGAAAGGAAGCCAGGAAGAAUAGCUGUGAGGUGUUCCUGCCUCUCAGCUGUGCUUAGCCCGAUUUCGGCGCUGAGCACUUGCCAGGCAGCAGAGGCUGGCUGCUGCUGUGGGCCCGGGGCAGCAGGAGCAGCGCCGCCGCACGCGUCCGACCGCGAGAAGCCAUCGCUGUGGGCCAGCAUUCCCUGGAGGGACAGGCUCUUUGCGAAGGGCGGCCAUCGCCUCAGACACGGCCAGCGCCACCUGCUGUCCGAGCCGCCUGCCGCAGCUCAGCCAGCCCGACCUUCACCGCGAAAACCAAUCUCCGACAAACGCAGCAAAACACGGCACUGAAAGCUAACAGGCUGCUGCUCUUCUAGCGUUGUCCUUGAGCUCUCUCCAGUAAUAACCCUUGGAGGAGGUGAAGAGUACACGGUAGUUCACCUGCACAAAAUCCACUUGUGUAUGCACACAUGGAGGGAAGAGUGGUGGCUGAUGGCGUGAACGAGCCAACACAGAAAAGAAUAUGUAUUUUGCAUGCAUGAUGUAAUUCAUACUAGCGAAAAUAAAAGGUAAAAGGCA
Molecule: long non-coding RNA, 983 nt
Organism: Passer montanus (Eurasian tree sparrow)
Lineage: Eukaryota; Metazoa; Chordata; Aves; Passeriformes; Passeridae
Exons: 2
Source: RefSeq, a predicted model, not a curated record